CAGUAGCCGCGGGAAAACGUAGGUGGCAAGCGUUGUCCGGAAUUAUUGGGCGUAAAGGGCUCGCAGGCGGUUUCUUAAGUCUGAUGUGAAAGCCCCCGGCUCAACCGGGGAGGGUCAUUGGAAACUGGGAAACUUGAGUGCAGAAGAGGAGAGUGGAAUUCCACGUGUAGCGGUGAAAUGCGUAGAGAUGUGGAGGAACACCAGUGGCGAAGGCGACUCUCUGGUCUGUAACUGACGCUGAGGAGCGAAAGCGUGGGGAGCGAACAGGAUUAGAUACCCCGGUAGUCCCUGUCUCUUAUAC
RNAcentral lists this ribosomal RNA (301 nucleotides) under uncultured bacterium. RNAcentral's name for it is "partial 16S ribosomal RNA". It matches the Rfam family "Bacterial small subunit ribosomal RNA", at positions 509 to 807 of the family's 1533-position model. The record is from RNAcentral.